CCCCAUCCAACGAAGCGACGCAUCCAGUGGCGAAGCUCGUAUCUUCCACACCAUCGGCGCGCAUUUCUGGAUUCCCCCGCGCGCAUCCGCACGGUGGUGUGGGAAGGGAGGCACAGGUUAGACCCAGGUGAGUGAUUUCUUCACGCGCCCGCGGUUUCGCCCAUCGAUUUCUGACUACGUUUUCGUGUUUGUUCGAUGGAGUUCAACGGCGAGCGCAUUUGGAAUCCGGCGAGGCAUUCGUGGUGGUUGGAGGAGGGGACUGGAAGCGCGGAUUCGGACAGGGGGAGGUCAUCGGCAUCCACAUCUGGAUUUCGGCGAGGUAUUCGCGGUGGGGAGAGAGGGACCGUAAGCGUAGAUGUCAGACCCAGAUUUUCCUCCGAAUGAGGACACCCGCGGUCACAUCAGGUUCAUUUAAGAAUUCGCAUCCAAUAGCAGGGAGUCAUCAGGGGGGAUCAGACCAGUCUUUUGUUUGUUGUGAAUUCAAGGCCCCUGGAGAAUAGAGUUUUUGUUGCUAGCGCAAAGGCUGCCUCCUGGUGAGAAAGUGCAGAAAGUUUAGUCAAGCAGACUCAUUCCUCUUUUUUUUUUUUAAAUUCAGUAUAAGGAACAACAUAUCUAGUUGCUAGAUUUUUUUUACUUGUCUAGGCAUCUAUUAAUUGUGUUUAGUCCUGGGUUAGUUGAUCUAGUAUCUCUAGGAUUAGUUUAUCUUCGAACAGUCGCUCAACAUGCUGGAAGCUUUUCAAAUCCUUUUUUGUUUAAGUCCAGGACAGAGGUGAGUUUGUAUGAAAUCACUAGCCAACUGUUCUGUCGAGAAGCACAAGUACAGUGCGACCAAGCUCGAGAAUAGAUUCCAGUUCUUAGGGUCAGGUUGUAAAUACAAUAGAGAAUAGAUAACUCAGAUCAAGAGCUUAAGAGGAAGCAUGGUUGAUUUAUAGACAUGCCUUUUUUCAUCAGAAGAAAUAAUAGCUUACCUGAAUGAUAGUCAGAGCCAGAGCUAGAUAACUGAAUGCUUUUUUGUUCUUCUUAGUUUUUUUACCAGUGAAAUGUUUUAGCUUAACAGUGAUUUUUGUUCGGUUGGAGGUGGGGGUUCUAGUAUAGAUUUUUAUUCUAAACAGUACCCAGCGAUUGCAACUGCAGUUGUUUUGUAUUUUCUCUCUGAAUUUCAGGGGCAAGUACAGCCUACAGGUGCAGCUCGGUCUCUGUCUGCUUGUCUUCUACUGCAGCAGCUUUUGGUCGAUUAGCAGCUCACACAGGUAAUCAGCAGUGACAAGUGCAGGUAUUGCUUAACUUGUUUUUGCAGCUCAUCCAGCAACAGUAGCUUCUGACAACUUAGCUUGUCAGGUUUGUUCAGAGACACAUUGAGGUACUUAACCACAUGAGCUAUUAUUUAUUACUUUUGCCACAAUGAUCUGUUACUCGAGUUGUCUUGCAUAGAAGUUGUCUGGUUUUUUAUUUAACCCCAUGUGUGGCCUGUAGAUUUUUCCUUGCACUGUUAAUUUAAUCAUCUGUUGCUCUGUCAGGCCAUUAUGUUGUAGUUGCAUUGUUCCAGUAGCUAGCAACUCUUUGUUUUUAUAUCACCUAACUCGAGCUACAACAGCAACACUUAUGUGCUUUUUGUUCAGAGCUUGCCUCUUGUGAAUUGGCUAAUUAGUAAGUUGGUUAAAUGGUGCAUUAUCAGCAUCUUGGUUUGCUCGUCUGGAUUAGCUCUUUUGUGCAGGCAGGUCAAUUCAGUAGCUGCAGCUACAGCUCCAUCAACAGCUUCAAGUGGACAUAAUCAGAAUGCUCGGUUUUCACUGAUCAGGUUCCCAAGUUAUCCUGCUGGGGAGAUCAAGUACAAUGCAUGAAGAAGUCAUACAAAACAAUGUUUAGGACCUGAAAUCCGAUGUGCCUUUUUCUCUGCCUGCAAGUUUCCUCAUCGAAUCGACACUAUAACAUGCUCUUCAACUUGGUGUUUGGUGGUCUUAAAGUUCAUCAGAUUGUCAUCGACAGCAGUUUAGUUGCAGCUUAACCUCGAUUUUUGAUUCAUGAGCAGUAUGGUAGUAGUUGUAGUAGCUCUAAUCUUUUUGUUUGUUCAAUCAGGCAAUCACAUGUAUGCUGGUAGUUUUGAAACUUUGUUAAUGCUUAGAAUUUAGAUGGGUGAAAUGUGUUUGUACAUGUUCUAAUUUGCUUACUAUUUUUCAAAGCUUUGCUUAUGGGAGAGUAAAAAUGAGGUCUGCAAAUUUA
Molecule: long non-coding RNA, 2220 nt
Organism: Panicum hallii
Lineage: Eukaryota; Viridiplantae; Streptophyta; Magnoliopsida; Poales; Poaceae
Exons: 6
Source: RefSeq, a predicted model, not a curated record